RNAcentral lists this ribosomal RNA (745 nucleotides) under uncultured bacterium. RNAcentral's name for it is "bacterial SSU rRNA". It matches the Rfam family "Bacterial small subunit ribosomal RNA", at positions 33 to 773 of the family's 1533-position model. The record is from RNAcentral.
ACGCUGGCGGCAGGCCUAACACAUGCAAGUCGAGCGGUAGAGAGAAGCUUGCUUCUCUUGAGAGCGGCGGACGGGUGAGUAAUGCCUAGGAAUCUGCCUGGUAGUGGGGGAUAACGUUCGGAAACGGACGCUAAUACCGCAUACGUCCUACGGGAGAAAGCAGGGGACCUUCGGGCCUUGCGCUAUCAGAUGAGCCUAGGUCGGAUUAGCUAGUUGGUGAGGUAAUGGCUCACCAAGGCGACGAUCCGUAACUGGUCUGAGAGGAUGAUCAGUCACACUGGAACUGAGACACGGUCCAGACUCCUACGGGAGGCAGCAGUGGGGAAUAUUGGACAAUGGGCGAAAGCCUGAUCCAGCCAUGCCGCGUGUGUGAAGAAGGUCUUCGGAUUGUAAAGCACUUUAAGUUGGGAGGAAGGGUUGUAGAUUAAUACUCUGCAAUUUUGACGUUACCGACAGAAUAAGCACCGGCUAACUCUGUGCCAGCAGCCGCGGUAAUACAGAGGGUGCAAGCGUUAAUCGGAAUUACUGGGCGUAAAGUGCGCGUAGGUGGUUUGUUAAGUUGGAUGUGAAAUCCCCGGGCUCAACCUGGGAACUGCAUUCAAAACUGACUGACUAGAGUAUGGUAGAGGGUGGUGGAAUUUCCUGUGUAGCGGUGAAAUGCGUAGAUACAGGAAGGAACACCAGUGGCGAAGGCGACCACCUGGACUAAUACUGACACUGAGGUGCGAAAGCGUGGGGAGCAAAC